UUAAUGGAGCCAAAAAAAAAAAAAUUAAUAGAGCCAAAAUGUAAAUCAUUACCAAGUAAACCCUUUCUCCUCAAAACACCUAAAACCUAAAACAAUUUGAACUGUUCUAGUCUUUCACCCAAUCCAUGCCCCAAUCUAAAUCCCUAACCUCUCAAUCUACAGCCCCGAUCUGUUUCCUUCUCCUUCCCGCCGUCGAUCAACCACCUUCUCGUUGUCAAUCAACCCCGAGCCCCAUUCUGUUGCAUUCUCGCGUUCGUUGAAUCUUGAGUUGUGACCAUUGUUCUCGCUGUCGCCCUAACCAUUGUAGCACCACAUCCAUCAUUCUCGUCGUUUUCGUGACCAUUCUCGCACCACGUCCACCGUUCUCGUCGUCACUGUGACCACCGUUCUCGCAUCACCGGUAAAUUUUGAAUUUCUGUAUUGUUUAUGUAUUUUUGCACAACCUGAACCCGAUGUUGCUUUUAAUUUUUGUUUUGUUAUUUCUGUGUUGUUCUUUGUAAUUUCUGUUUUGUAAUUUGUUUUGUAAUUUAUGUUCGGUUAUUUCUUUG
RNAcentral lists this long non-coding RNA (548 nucleotides) under Cicer arietinum (chickpea). RNAcentral's name for it is "long non-coding RNA (CARI_LNC001364)". The record is from RNAcentral. Lineage: Eukaryota; Viridiplantae; Streptophyta; Magnoliopsida; Fabales; Fabaceae.